This 94-nucleotide small nucleolar RNA is filed under the name Ascoidea rubescens DSM 1968. Lineage: Eukaryota; Fungi; Ascomycota; Saccharomycetes; Ascoideales; Ascoideaceae. The record is from RNAcentral.
UGAAAUGAUGAUCAUAUAUUCACACUGUAUGAAGUGAAAUUUAUAAUUUUGCCUUGAUUAUCAAAAAAAUACAACUGAUUUAAUGACUCUGACC